Molecule: ribosomal RNA, 253 nt
Filed under: uncultured bacterium
Lineage: Bacteria
Description: partial 16S ribosomal RNA
Rfam family: Bacterial small subunit ribosomal RNA
Source: RNAcentral
UACAGAGGUCUCAAGCGUUGUUCGGAUUCAUUGGGCGUAAAGGGUGCGCAGGCGGUCUGUUAAGCAGGGUGUGAAAUCCCCCGGCCCAACCGGGGAACUGCGCCCUGAACUGGCAGGCUUGAGUGAGAUAGGGGUGUGCGGAACUUCCGGUGGAGCGGUGAAAUGUGUUGAUAUCGGAAGGAACGCCAGAGGCGAAAGCGGCACACUGGGUCUCAACUGACGCUGAGGCACGAAAGCCAGGGGAGCAAACGGG